This 2814-nucleotide ribosomal RNA is filed under the name gut metagenome. Its description in RNAcentral is "bacterial LSU rRNA". It matches the Rfam family "Bacterial large subunit ribosomal RNA". The record is from RNAcentral.
AGAAAAGUUAUUAAGGGCAUGCGGAGGAUGACUUGGCACUAAUAGCAGAUGAAGGACGCGAAAACCUGCGAAAAGCUUCGGGGAGGCGGAUCAGCCUAUGAACCGGAGGUAUCCGAAUGGGGCAACCCGGACAGAGUAAGAACUGUUCAUCCCGUAAUGAAUUCAUAGUUACGGAGAAGAAAACCUGGCGAAUUGAAACAUCUUAGUAGCUGGAGGAAAAGAAAGAGAGAUCGAUUCCCUGAGUAGCGGCGAGCGAAACGGGAGGAGCCCAAACCAACUUCGAGUUGGGGUUGUAGGACUGCAACAUGGUAUGUUAAGCGUUAGUAGAAUUACCUGGAAAGGUAAGGCGUAGAAGGUGAUACCCCUGUAUACGAAAACAAAUAACAACCUAGCAGAAUCCUGAGUACGGCGAGGCACGUGAAACCUUGUUGGAAUCAGCGCAGACCACUGCGCAAGGCUAAAUACUCAUUAGUGACCGAUAGUGAACCAGUACUGUGAAGGAAAGUUGAAAAGAACCCCGGGAGGGGAGUGAAAUAGAACCUGAAACCGCAUGCUUACAAAAAGUCAGAGGGCGUUAAUGCCUGAUGGCGUGCCUAUUGAAGAAUGAACCGGCGAGUUAUUUUAUCGUGCGAGGUUAAGUGGAAGACACGGAGCCGUAGCGAAAGCGAGUCUUAACAGGGCGACUUAGUACGAUAGAAUAGACCCGAAACCAGGUGAUCUAGCCAUGAUCAAGUUGAAGUGAGGGUAAAACCUCAUGGAGGACUGAACCGACGUUCGUUGAAAAGACCGCGGAUGAAUUGUGGCUAGUGGUGAAAUUCCAAUCGAACUUGGUUAUAGCUGGUUCUCCCCGAAAUAGCUUUAGGGCUAGCCUCGAGAGGAAAGCUCGGUGGAGGUAGAGCACUGAAUAUGUGAUGGCCCAGUUUAUGGGUACUGAACAUAAUCAAACUCCGAAUGCCAUCGAUAGUAUACUCGGGAGUCAGAGCGUGAGCGAUAAGGUCCAUGCUCAAAAGGGAAACAGCCCAGACCUACAGCUAAGGUCCCAAAAUUUGUGUUAAGUGUAAAAGGAUGUGGAGACGCAAAAACAGCUAGGAUGUUGGCUCAGAAGCAGCCACCAUUUAAAGAGUGCGUAACAGCUCACUAGUCGAGUAUCUCUGCGCCGAAGAUUUACCGGGGCUUAAACACAAUGCCGAAGCUUAGGACUCUAAGGAGUGGUAGGGGAGCGUUGUAUAUGCGUUGAAGUCGUACCGUGAGGAGCGUUGGAGCGUAUACAAGAGAGAAUGCCGGUGUGAGUAACGAAUGAGGGUGAGAAUCCCUCACACCGAUUGACUAAGGUUUUCUGGGGAAGGUUCGUCCACCCAGAGUAAGUCGGGAACUAAGGCGAGGCCGAGAGGCGUAGUCGAUGAACAACAGGUUGAUAUUCCUGUACCCGCAUAAAGGUGAUGGAGUGACAGAAAGGGCUAAUAUAUCUGGCUGUUGGAUUAGCCAGUCCAAGCGAGGUAGCUGAAGUAGAGGCAAAUCCCUACUUCUUAAGGCGAAAGCGUGAUGGGGAGUGAAAGUGCUUGCACAAGUAGCGAAGUAUAUGAUGCCAAUUCUCGAGAAAAGCUUCUAACUUAACUUUAUGUGGCCCGUACCGAGAACGAACACACGUGGUCAAGGAGAGAAUCCUAAGGUGAGCGAGAGAAUUGUUGUUAAGGAACUCUGCAAAAUAACCCCGUAAGUUAGCGAGAAGGGGUGCUCUAGCGAUAGAGCCGCAGUGAAGAGGCCCAGGCAACUGUUUAACAAAAACACAGCUUUAUGCUAAGCCGCAAGGCGAUGUAUAUGAGGUGACGCCUGCCCAGUGCUGGAAGGUUAAGAGGAUUUGUUAGCCGCAAGGCGAAGCUCAGAAUCGAAGCCCCAGUGAACGGCGGCCGUAACUAUAACGGUCCUAAGGUAGCGAAAUUCCUUGUCAGGUAAGUUCUGACGCGCACGAAUGGCGUAAUGAUCUGGGCGCUGUCUCAACAGCAAACUCGGUGAAAUCUUAAGACCUGUGAAGAUGCAGGUUACCCGCGACUAGACGGAAAGACCCCAUGGAGCUUUACUAUAACUUAAUAUUGGACAACGAUACGUCAUGUACAGGAUAGGUGGGAGACUAUGAAGCUUGCACGUCAGUGUGAGUGGAGUCGCCGUUGGGAUACCACUCUUGGUGUAUUGUUGCUCUAACCUACGAUCAUUACCGGUCGGGGGACAGUGUUAGGCGGGUAGUUUGACUGGGGCGGUCGCCUCCUAAAUAGUAACGGAGGCGCCCAAAGGUACCCUCAGCACGGUUGGAAAUCGUGCAUAGAGCGUAAAGGCAUAAGGGUGCUUGACUGCGAGACCUACAAGUCGAGCAGGGACGAAAGUCGGGCUUAGUGAUCAGGCGGUACCACGUGGAAGGGCCGUCGCUCAACGGAUAAAAGCUACCCUGGGGAUAACAGGCUGAUUCCUCCCAAGAGUUCACAUCGACGGGGGAGUUUGGCACCUCGAUGUCGGCUCAUCACAUCCUGGAGCUGGAGUCGGUUCCAAGGGUUGGGCUGUUCGCCCAUUAAAGUGUUACGCGAGCUGGGUUCAAAACGUCGUGAGACAGUUUGGUCCCUAUCUGUCGUGGGCGUAGGAAAAUUGAUAGGAUCUGUCCUUAGUACGAGAGGACCGGGAUGGACAUACCACUGGUGUACCAGUUGUUCUGCCAAGAGCAUUGCUGGGUAGCUACGUAUGGAACGGAUAAACGCUGAAAGCAUCUAAGCGUGAAACCGACCUAAAGAUGAGUUUUCCCAUUCGCAAGAAGUAAGAUCCCUUGAA